CAGCCCCCUCCCCUAACCCUAGCCCCCUCCCCCGCCGCCCACUUCCCCGGCGUCGUCGCCGUCGUCCACCACCACCUCCACCGCGCCCCAACCCUAUCCCCGUUGCUUCCGCCCCCACCUUCUUCCAAUCCCCUCACCUUCUCUCCCGUGGCCGGUGGAUUCGCCCCUCGCGGGAUCGAUUCCUCCGAGCCGACAGGGUCUUCAGGGCCGGACGGGAGCGGCGCGUCCCCCAUCGGCGCGUUGGUGAGCGCGGCGGCGGCCGUGGCCGAGCUCGAGCCCGUAGCUCAGAUCCUUCAGGGCCGGACGGGAGCGGCGCGUCCCCCAUCGGCGCGUUGGUGAGCGCGGCGGCGGCCGUGGCCGAGCUCGAGCCGGCCCUUCUCCGCGCCGGCGACGCGUGCAGCAAAGAAUGGAAGGCGUGCGUUCUGUCGGCAUCUGAUCCAGAUGACCUCACGCCUCCGCGCCCGUCCUCCUUCCCCGUUGCCCCUCCUCUCGAGCCACCGGCUGGCGCUCUCCCUUCGCCGGAAGAGCCUCCCACUCCUCCUCCGGAAGCUAUUUGUGGCCCAGUUGUUCAGAGAUGGAUCUACCGGCUCGAUCGAGGAGCGGCGGGGGUAGAAGUGCAAGGCGAGGAGUGCUUGAUGCGAAGAGCUCAUAACAGCCACGCGUCCGCCUUUACUGGCGAGCGCAUCAAGUUCCCAACCGGACACUAGGUUUUGAAUCUUAAAUGAUGGCUGCUUGAUAAUUUGUCCAAGUUGAGAUCCACCACCGACGAUAAGAGUUUGCUACCCUGCUCCUAUGAAGGUAGCCGAAGGCCUGCACCUCCCACCGUUCCAAUUUUUUCGGUUGAAUCAAGUGUCAAUUAAUGAGAUGGAUGUGUUGUUCAUGCUCUUUGAGAAGGCCAGCCGCUCCAGACGACGAUUUUGUAGGAUACACGCUGAAUGCGUCGCUCGCCUGUCACUCCUUCGCUAGGAGGGGCGCAACAUGCUACUCGCUCCGAUGCUCCAGGUUGAAGCGGCGAUGGCGGUUGUAGCGUGACUGACGGCAUCAGCAACAAGCAGUUACUCAUCUUUGCAUCAGCAACAGAUGGAUUAUGGAAUUGUUUCAAUCUGGAUAAUUCGCUUGGAAAAAAUUGUCACGUACACUACCAGAAGGGUGAGAGUGAAUUUCAAUAGGCUUAUGACAAAGGAAUGCCCAAAUCAAAGUUCUGGGAGCCUACAUAUGAAGAUUGCUUAAAUAUGAUUGAUGUACCGCAGGUAUUCCCCCGUCGCUCCUCCACUCCAGGUUCCCUCUCUCUCUCUCUAUCUAUCUCUCUCUCUCUCUCUCUCUCUCUAACCUCUGCUCCCAUCAUCUUGGAACUACAUGAGACGAACAUGUCGUCUUAGGCUCGGACGUUGUUGGUCGCCGGCUUGGCCUGCAAGAGGAUGCCCCCCUGCUCUGACUUGCUCACAUCUCAGUGUUUCACCAAUGAAGAUGUAUUUUCAAGAACCAGAGUCAUCGAUGCAGUGAGGAUGAUUUUCGCAUCCGCUGGCUGAGGGGCAAGCUGGGGCUGCAGUCCCUGAACAUAGUGGUUCUACUGUGACGAUCUCAUCUCUCUCACUAUGCGUGUAUCUCUCUCUAUCACGUCUCCCUUUUUGCUAAUCAUUCAUGCAUUUCAUGAUCACUAAGGUUUUUUUAGCUUUGUAGUUGCUGAUUGCUGGGAGAAUGAUUAUCCUGAUUAAUAAGAUUUAAAUGUGUUAGACCAGACCAAGAUGGAUUAGUUUUGAUGUAUAUUUUGGGUUAGAAAAAUGUCAAACCUUAACAUUUAGAAGAAGCUUUACAUAGUUGGAUCCAUUACAGUGCUACCUUGGUCGUUGCUGUAGGUGAAGGCCUUGCGUUGGGACUCUGUGCCUCCUAAACUAAGAACAAAUGAACUUGCCUUUAGGCUUUUCGCACUGCACUAUGCAUCCAGGUCCAACCCAAUGGUUAGGACGGCGGUUCUUGCAUAGCAUACAUGGAGAUGGUACAUGUGGGGAAGAAAUAUAAGAAACUCAUGCUCAUCAGCGAGGGCAGGGGUCAUAUAGUCUUCCACUCCAUCACCUUCCGCUCGGCCACUUUCGGCAAAGCAGACUAUGUACAACCUCUUCUUUUUGAAGCCCUCGGCCCCUCACCACCUGUUGAAGUUGAGGGCAGCAGCUCGCACUGUGAGGGGCUUCGGCGACGGGGCCUAUUAUGCACAUGAUGGUGUGCUACUCUCAUGGAUAGAGGUCAUCCAUGGCUUGAGUGAGUAGCCCCAAAAGCAGGUGGUAUGGCAAGCCGCGGGAAGCUCAGGGCAGGGUCAGCAGCUUCAACAGCUUCAACUGCACCAAUGCAACUGUAUGUCUCUUCAGAGAUGUGUCGUUAGCUGAUGAGGUUAUCCCCACUAAAGCCAAGAAGGUCAGGCGCAACUAAAACCAGGAAGGCCAAUUGUUGUUAAGUGCUCGCCCUUUUGGACCUUAUCAUUUUGUUUGUGGAUGCGCGAAAGAAUGAUGUCUGGAUAUGGGAGUGUCUCUUUAGAUGUAGAUAUAGAUGGUACCUGAAGCAACUAAACCGCGUAUGGGGAUUUAACAUUGUCUUUGGUGGAAAAGGCCCUCAAUUCUCGGCCACUGUUCUAUUUUUGAUUUCUUGCUUGGUCGUGUAGAUGUCGUGGGUAUUGUAGUCAAGGUUUCUGAUGUACUCCUGUUCCAGCCGCAACCAUGGCAAACUGUGACACUUACUAUGAAUCAUAAAUAGUUCUCUCUAUCUCUUUA
Molecule: long non-coding RNA, 2762 nt
Organism: Triticum dicoccoides
Lineage: Eukaryota; Viridiplantae; Streptophyta; Magnoliopsida; Poales; Poaceae
Exons: 13
Source: RefSeq, a predicted model, not a curated record